Long non-coding RNA from Bacillus rossius redtenbacheri, 1724 nucleotides. RefSeq lists it as uncharacterized. The record is from RefSeq and is a predicted model, not a curated record. Lineage: Eukaryota; Metazoa; Arthropoda; Insecta; Phasmatodea; Bacillidae. The transcript has 3 exons.
UCUUAACACAUGCGAUGCGUGCUGCAAAUCAUCAAGAUUUUAAAGUUUCGGGUGCUGCGGUACACUUAUUUAGUCAGAAAACGAUAAAUUUUUUUCCUGGCUUUUAAAUAACGUUAUAAAACACGCACGCGGAAAAUUAUUACGCUCAACACAAGUGCGUUUGCGUCGUGUUGGCUAACGGUGUCUAUUUACAAUCUUCGCAUAGCGGCGGCACUGUUUUUCUAAUGUGUGUAUAUAACCAAAAAUGAAAAAAAAAUAUUAUCUGUGUAAAAACUAUGAAAUAUUAAGGUCUUCUGUUAGAGUUAUAUAUUGCACAAGUGUGUUUGAAACGCCUACAAAGAUAGUUGUUCCAAGAAAUGACAUAAACAAGAAUUUGUCACCUAACUGGCGAUGUUAUUGUUAUGUAUUUCGUGUUCCUAUGGUGGGGAGUGGAGUGAAAGAAAGCCCUUGGAGCCUGGCUGGCUGAGGAGCUGGUACACUGACCGAGCACACCAGCCGCAUCAACACCAGGGCCAUCGAGAGUCUCUCUGGCAGCAGCCAGCCUGGCCACCUGCCACACAGUUGCAGUGUGGCAGGGCAGCAUACGAGAAGGCCGCCUACCUGACUUUCCCACCUUCGAGUAGCAGUACAAAGAAGGCAACAGGAAGUGGUUCCUCAACAGCACAUCAGGCUCAAGUGACGAGGGGAAUGGGUUCGAUCCCAACACCCUGAUGUGGCUUCCAUCAACAAGCACCGAGUCAUACCCAAGCUGCCUUGCGGGGCCUGCCCUACUGUGUCCCAGCCCUGCACCAGGAUAGUGAUUUGUGUGUCAGAUAUCACUACACAGUGAUCAGCCAUUUUUCAAAAUAUUAUUUUAAAUAAAAAUCACACACUGCAAAGAGAAAAUUAUAAUAGCAGAAAAGGUAGAAGAAAAACUUUAGGUUUUUGUUUCAUGUAUUUAUUAAUAUUCUAACACUGUAAUAAUAACACUUAAAAAAAGAACCCUUCAAUAAAUUAGUUCCAGUGCUGUCAACUUCCAGGCACACCCAUCAGUAAUCACAUUUAACCUAACAAUAGAAGGCAAUAAAGUUUAUUCCAAAUACUAGACUCAAAAAAAUAUUAAUUAUUUAAAAUAUUUAUACAGUAAUGAGCUAAUUGAUUCGUUAAAUAUUUUAAACACUACAAAGGUCUAAACCCAACUUAAUAAAAAACUUAAAUAAGUAUCUCCUUUGAUAUUCAUGUUAAGAAUUUUAUGUUUGCCUUAUUAUUAAAAUUGGAAAAUGCAACUAUUGCAUGCUUGGAUUCUUGAAUCUCCUUGAGUAUAAAUUUAUUAUUUUAUUUUAUUUAUUAUUUUAUUAUUAUAGCACUCUUAAGCAUAUGAACUAAAUUUAUCAAAUCAGAUUGUACUAAUAUUAUUGUUCAAGACACACUCAACAGCCAACCAGAAAUAUAUGCGAGAUUUAUCAUACAAAACGCUGAUAUACAAACAUCAUUUCUCACGUGAUGAACCGUGAUUCCGUGACUAGAUGUCAAAAUUAGUAACAAUCAUGGACUAUCCAUAUUACUUGACAACAAUGUGGUUCAUACUUUUUCAAAAGACUGAAUUGCUGUCUCAAGGCAGGAGGCACUGUGCUGUGUUAAUCCCUACAUAGAACAACCCAAAAUAACCUAAGGAAGUAAGAGCGAGGACUCACCAGGUGGCCGACCACCGGAGCUUGCCCCGGGGAGUUCAGGCCGGUCUCUGU